RNAcentral lists this transfer RNA (68 nucleotides) under Marmota monax (woodchuck). RNAcentral describes it as "tRNA.Leu". The record is from RNAcentral. Lineage: Eukaryota; Metazoa; Chordata; Mammalia; Rodentia; Sciuridae.
UGUUGUAGCUCAGUGGUAGAGCACUUGUCUAGCACAUGAGGCAUUGGGUUCAAUCCUCAGUAUGAUAU